AAGCAGUUGUUUAAAUUGAUGGCUUUGAAUAAGAUAAAUCAGAAAUCAGUACGUAGUGCUUGAAACAUCUUUUUGUUCAGAAAGUUUGCUUCUUGUUCCACACCCCCUCGGAGUAUGACUGGAGGGCAUGGAUUGGAAAUAUGCAGGAAAACGAUGCCACCUGCAGGCGCUGUGCUGAGGGUGCGCUUCUCACCAGGGGCAGCACUGGAAAGGCUGCUGAACUGUCUCACGUCGAUUUGCAGAUGAUGAAGAUACUCGUGCACGCAUACUUCUUGUAUUUCAGCAAGUGAAAGGCAGUGAAACAUGUUAGAGAUCGUUCUUCAAGAACCUCUGUGUUAAUCUUAGCUAGGGAUAAGUGGAAAUGACUCGGAUGAUGCAGGCUCAGUGGAGUAAAACUUCCCUUCUUAUUGCCUUCACAGAAAUAAGGGUGUGCAGCCCUAGCAGUGUCUCAGGACCCUCACGGGCCAAAAUCCAAAUGCUUUGGUGCAUUGUUUUAGGUGUUAGCUGGUGCUUAUCUCAUAAUAAUUGAUAUAUGACAGUAUAGAGCUCUAUUUCCACUGAGGUUGGACUGGUGUGUAGUUCAGAAAACCUGUUUAGGUUUUUAACUGCUUAUUAUUGUGAUUUUAGUUGUGUAUGACUGUGCUCAACUCAAACGUCCCUUGUUGCAUAAACAGUGCAGUAGCAUUGCCAGAAGCAAAGCUGCUUUUGAGUUUGGAAGUAUCUACAAAUCAACUUAGAAAACAGCGAGAAAGCAUUGGAUGGGAAAUGAUUCAAGGAGAACAAAACAAAGUAAUGGAAGACAUGAAUGUGUUGCUAAUUACCUGCCGUUCUGAUUUCUGAAGUAAUUUUUCAUCCAUGAACUAUGUGGUCAAAUGUAGCAGCAAACCAAGAAUGCAUGUUCUAGCUUGUAGGCAUGUUAAAUACUGGGAAUUGAUGUUAUGUCAUUGCUGCUACAGGUUUCCUGUUUAAAAUCAUUGUGCCGUAUCUUGAGGAGAGCUGCUGAAGCUGGAUCGUUCAUCAUAGAUUGUAAUUGCACCAAGAUGAUCUUCACUAGUUCUGCAGACUUAUUUCCACUUGAAAUUGGCCCGUGCUGGUUUUUCUCUGUAUCUGUCUGUGUUGCAUUGGUGAUGUCAGUAAGCACAAGCUGGAAAUGGCAUACAGAUUGUUUUAAUUUGCACCAAGGACAAACUUUGCCUCUAUGA
RNAcentral lists this long non-coding RNA (1202 nucleotides) under Meleagris gallopavo (turkey). RNAcentral's name for it is "lncRNA (ENSMGAG00000019236.1)". Lineage: Eukaryota; Metazoa; Chordata; Aves; Galliformes; Phasianidae. The record is from RNAcentral.